Long non-coding RNA from Cebus imitator (Panamanian white-faced capuchin), 2934 nucleotides. RefSeq lists it as uncharacterized. NCBI's taxonomy places the organism in Eukaryota, Metazoa, Chordata, Mammalia, Primates, Cebidae. The record is from RefSeq and is a predicted model, not a curated record. The transcript is spliced from 2 exons.
AAGAUGAAAUUUCUGGUAGAUUUCUAAAUUAAAUAUAUUAAUUUGUAUGCUUCUGUUAGUAUCCUUGAAAUAUCAGCCUUCCCUGAUUACUCUUCACUGUGACCUCUAUUGUUUUCAAUAUUGCCCUUGGGCUGGAUUUCCUUGUCCUACUCCAAAUAAAGUCAACCCCUUCAGGCAGGGGCCCUGAACAGCCAGUCAUCAAGGUUUGCCGGGCCUGCGAGGACAGAACCUCUUUAGGACAGAGUUGGAGCUUCAGGGAAGUGGGAAUAGGAGCCACCAGUCCUUCCCGUCCCCAUGGCCCAGUCUUGGAGUGGAACUGCCUUGCCAGGGAGUAGGAGUGGGGCUCACAGGAGCAAUGGGAGUCACUGGUCCUCACAGGCUGCCCUUCAUGUCUAGGAUGAGACUUCUACUGAAGUGGAAGUUUCGCCCAGGAUUUUGUUAGCACAUAGUCAGCAACUUCCCUGUUUUAAAACUGCCCCUGUUUUUCUAAUAACCGCAUCUUUCUGCUUCUGUACCUCAGCUUAUUGCUUACCAGCUAAAAACCUUCAGGAAAACCGCCGCAUCGUCUAAACCUGCUGCACUGUCUGAAGCUCUGAGUUACUCCCGGGCCCCUUCACCUGUGAAAACCGUGGGCUGUUCUUAGCCGCGUCCAGAUUCUGGGCGUAGUAAAGAGUGCGCCUCCGUUCCCCUGACGGCCGCCUGGGUUUCCUGUCAGGUAACACUUUCCACAUUUGGUUCCCUGACCGGCCCCUUGAGCCGCCGGUUUGGGGUCAGAAAGGACGGACAGCUCGCCUGUGCCCCACCGGGGAACCAGGCAGCUCCCCGCCCCCUAAGCUGCUCCAGGGCCUCCUUCCCUGGAAGCGGAACCACUGCUGCUCCGGCGUUGCUGCUGGCCGGACGCGCGGGGGAGACGGACUGAACUGAGGGGAACUCCGGAUGAGGAAACCCGCUGGCUGACCGAGAAGCUAAGGCAGCCGCACUGAAGAAAGGGCCUGUGCAGGCCCCGAGCACUUGUUCACAGUCACCCCUUGGCUCCGAGAGGAUGUGGGGAAGCUGGAGUACUCUAAGGAAGAAAACCAGUGGGCACAGCAGGAGGGGGCAAAGCAGAGUGCCGGGGGAUGGUGGCCACUCCCUGACAACAGACCAGUGGUCCCUAAGAACUUGGCUCACACCGUCGUUGCUGAGUGCCAUGGUCUCACCCACCUAGGUAAACAGCUCUGGAGAGCUUACUCAACAGGUAUGACUAUAAUGCAACCCUCCCCACACUCUGCGCUGCAGUAAGCAAUCAGUGCCUUACCUCUGCUAAAAACAACCCCUCUCAGCGGCUGAAACCUGCCCCAGGGGUGCAACAGGUGGGCGGCUACCCCUCUGAGGACGUAGAGGUGGACUUCACUGAAGUCAAGCCCAGUAAAGGGUACAAAUACCUACUGGUCCUUGUAUGUACAUACUGGGGCUGGGCUGAGGCACUCCCAACCAAGACAGAGAGAGCCCGAGAAUUAGUGAGAGUCCUACUUUGUGAAAUUGUUCCCCGGUAUGGGAUUCCACUCACCAUACACAGUGACAGUGGGCCAGCAUUUGUGGCGGAGAUCAUCCAAGCCCUCACCAGCGUGCUCAAGAUUAAGUGGAAACUUCACACAGCCUACAGGACGCAAAGUUCAGGAAAAGUGGAGCGCAUGAAUCGAACUCUGAAGGUUACACUAGUAAAGCUCUGUCAGGAAACGCAGGCUUCCUGGUUAGAUAUGCUUCCCCUAGCCCUGCUGUGGUCAUGGUGUACACUAGGACCUGCCGGCUACUCACCCUUUGAAAUCCUAUUUGGGAGGCCCCCCUCUGGUUAACAAAGUGAGGGGGGACCUCAGACAGCUAGGGGAAACAAGCGUGAUGUCCCAGCUGCAGGCAUUGGGGAAGGUGCUGUCCCAGCUCAGUCAGUUUGAAAUAGAAAGAGCACCUAUCUCCCUAGCCAAUCCAACUCAUCCCUUCCAACCUGGGGUCCAGGUCUGGUUGAAAGAUUGGAAUAAGGAACCCCUUCAGCCUGUCUGGACAGGGCCUCAUACUGUAAUCCUUGUCACCCCAAAUGCUCUCAAAGUUUCAGGAGUCGUUCUGUGGGUACAUUAUUCCAGAGCCAAGAGGGCCCACCCGGACACGUCGCUGGACUGGUGGACUGCACAUCAGACCCUCGGCACCCCAUGAAAAUCAGGCCCCAGGGCUCUGAAUCCUGAGAACUCAUCAAGCCCUCCUGUAGUCACACAACCAGAAGCUGACUAGUCAAGGCACGGCCGAAGCUUGGGGAGCCUCCACUGAAUCAGCAAAUGUGGACUGAAAUCUUAGUACUUGGAACUAUUCUGACAGCAUUUGUUGUUCUAUUGUUGUGCGGUCAUCCUUGUUGUCCCUUGAGGGACGUUCCUUGUCCAUGUCUGGUGUAAAAUGUCACUUCCUGUUUUGCUAUUAAUAAUCUUCUUGGCCCUUGCCAUCAGCCCUUGUCUAAUUAACAUACUUUGGUGCGUCAUUGAAGCCAUGGUCAUUAGAAAAACAAAUGCUCAGUUGCUGGCCCUCAGUGGGUACAAGCCGCUAAAUACAGGCAGCAGGGUGUAAAGGUGAUGCUCCCUAAUAUCCAUAAGAGAGCAUCAGAGGGGGGAUGAAGUGGAAGUUUUGCCCACGAUUUCUUUAGCACAUAGUCAGCAACUUCCCUAUUUUAAAACUGGCACUGUUUUUCUGCUAAUAACCGCCUCCUUCUGCUUCUGGACCUCAGCUUAUUGCUUACUAGCUAAAAACCUUAAGGAAAACUGCUGCGUCGUCUAAACCUCCUGCGGUGUCUAAAGUUCUGAGUUUCUUCCCCUGCCCCUUCCCCUAUAAAAACUGUGUACUUUUCUUAGCCGGGGUCCAGACUUUUGGGUGUGAACCCUUCUGGGCCAGCUGCCAUAAUAAAGUGUGUUCCUC